This 6139-nucleotide ribosomal RNA is filed under the name Plenodomus lingam JN3. Its description in RNAcentral is "28S_rRNA". The stretch from base 307 to 3656 matches the Rfam family "Eukaryotic large subunit ribosomal RNA". The record is from RNAcentral. Lineage: Eukaryota; Fungi; Ascomycota; Dothideomycetes; Pleosporales; Leptosphaeriaceae.
ACUUUUAACAACAGAUCUCUUAGUUCUAGCAUUAAUAAAGAACGCAGCGAAAUGCAAUAAGUAGUGUGAAUUACAGAAUUUAGUAAAUUAUUAAAUCUUUAAACGCACAUUACGCCCCUUAGUAUUCUAUAGGGCAUGCCUAUUUAAGCGUUAUUUGUACCCUUAAGCUCUGCUUAGUGUUAGGUGUUUGUUCUACUUAUGACUUGCCUUAAAACAAUUAGUAGCUAGCAUAUUAGCCUAGAGUGUAGCACAUUUUACGCCUCUUAUUAUAGUUGUUAGCAUCUAUUAAGAUACUUUUUAAGCUCUUAACCUUAGAUUAGGUAGGGAUACCUGCUAAACUUAAGUAUAUCUAAUAAGCGGAGGAAAAGAAACUAACAGGGAUUGCCCUAGUAACGGCGAGUAAAGUGGCAACAGCUUAAAUUUAAAAUCUAGCUCUUUUAGGGUCUAAGUUGUAAUUUAUAGAGGGCGCUUUAGCGUUAGUAGUAGUCUAAGUUCCUUAGAACAGGACGUUACAGAGGGUAAGAAUCCUGUACGUAGUCGCUAGCCUUCGCCGUGUAAAGCCCCUUUAAUAAGUUAAGUUAUUUAGGAAUAUAGCUCUAAAUAGGAGGUAAAUUUCUUCUAAAGCUAAAUACUAGCUAGAGACUAAUAGCGCAUAAGUAGAGUAAUUAAAAGAUAAAAAGCACUUUAGAAAGAGAGUUAAAUAGCACGUGAAAUUGUUAAAAGGGAAGCGCUUAUAGCUAGACUUGCCUAUAGUUGCUUAUCUAGGCUUUUGUCUAGUGCACUCUUCUAUAGGCAGGCUAGUAUUAGUUUAGGCAGUUAGAUAAAGGUCUCUAUUACGUACCUCCCUUUAGGGAGGCCUUAUAGGGGAGACGACAUGCAACUAGCCUAGACUAAGGUCCGCGCAUCUGCUAGGAUGCUAGCGUAAUGGCUAUAAGCGGCCCGUCUUAAAAUAUGGACCAAGGAGUCUAAUAUCUAUACAAGUAUUUAGGUGUUAAGCCUAGACGCGUAAUAAAAGUAAAUAGAGGUAGGAACCCUUUUAGGGUGCACUAUUAACCAAUCCUAAUAUCUUUAGAAGGAUUUAAGUAAGAGCAUAGCUAUUAGGACCUAAAAGAUAGUAAACUAUGCUUAAAUAGGGUAAAGCUAGAGGAAACUCUAGUAGAGGCUCGCAGUGGUUCUAACGUGCAAAUUAAUUAUUAAAUUUAGGUAUAGGGGCGAAAGACUAAUUAAACUAUCUAGUAGCUAGUUCCUACUAAAGUUUCCCUUAGGAUAGUAGUAACGUAUUUAGUUUUAUAAGGUAAAGCAAAUAAUUAGAGGCCUAGGGGUUAAAACAACCUUUACCUAUUCUUAAACUUUAAAUAUAUAAGAAGUCCUUAUUACUUAAUUAAACGUGGACACUUAAAUGUACUGUUACUAGUAGGCUAUUUUUAGUAAGUAGAACUAGCAAUACGGGAUAAACCAAACGCAGGGUUAAGGUGCUAGAAUACACGCUUAUUAGACACCACAAAAGGUGUUAGUUUAUCUAGACAGCAGGAUAGUAGCUAUAGAAGUUAGAAUCUACUAAGGAGUGUGUAAUAACUUACCUGCUAAAUAAACUAGCCCUAAAAAUAGAUGGCGCUUAAGCGUGUUACCUAUACCCUGCUGCUAGGGCAAGAUUUAAGCCCUAGCAAGUAGGCAGGCGUAGAGGCUCGUAACGAAGCCUUAGGGGUAACCCUAGGUAGAAUAGCCUCUAGUGCAGAUCUUGGUAGUAGUAGCAAAUACUUAAAUAAGAACUUUAAGGACUAAAGUAGGGAAAGGUUCCGUGUGAAUAGUAGUUAGAUAUAGGUUAGUUAAUCCUAAGAGAUAGGGUAAUUCUAUUUUAAUAUUAGUGCUUACGCCGCGCCCUUAAAAGGGAAGCUAGUUAAUAUUCUAGCACCUAGAUGUAGAUUCUCCGCAGCAACGUAACUAAGAGCAGAGACCUUAGCAGGAGCCCUAAGAAGAGUUCUCUUUUCUUCUUAAUAGUCUAUUACCCUAAAAUUAGUUUAUCUAGAGCUAGGGUUUAAUAGCUAGAAGAGUGCUGCACUUUUACAGCGUUUAGUGCGCUCCUAACAAGCCUUAAAAAUCUACUUAAAGAAAUAGUUUUUACGCUAGGUCGUACUUAUAACUAUAGCAGGUCUCUAAGGUAAAAAGCCUCUAGUUAAUAGAACAAUAUAGAUAAGGGAAGUUAGUAAAAUAGAUCUAUAACUUUAGGAAAAGGAUUAGCUCUAAGGGUUAGGUACGUUGGGCCUUAGGGAGAAGCCUCUAGCGUAGAAGGGCACUAACUGCAAGGUAGGCGCCUCUUAGCGCUAGGGUGCAGACACCCUUGGCAGGUUUUAGCUGUCUAGCGUACGUUUAACAACUAACUUAGAACUAGUAUAGAUAAGGGGAAUCUAACUAUCUAAUUAAAACAUAGUAUUAUAAUAGCUAGAAAGUAGUAUUAAUAUAAUAUAAUUUCUGCCUAGUGCUCUAAAUAUUAAAGCAAAGAGAUUUGACUAAGCGCGGGUAAACAGCAGGAGUAACUAUAACUCUCUUAAGGUAGCUAAAUACCUUAUUAUCUAAUUAGUAACGCGCAUAAAUAGAUUAACAAGAUUCCUACUAUCCCUAUCUACUAUCUAGCGAAACCACAGCUAAGGGAAUAGGCUUAGCUAAAUUAGCAGGGAAAGAAGACCCUAUUAAGCUUAACUCUAGUUUAAUAUUAUAAAAAGAUAUAGGGGGUGUAGAAUAGGUAGGAGCUUUAGCGCUAGUAAAAUACUACUACCCUUAUCGUUUUUUUACUUAUUUAAUAAAGCAGAGCUAGGCCUUACUACCUAACUUCUAGCGUUUAAGGUCCUUUGUAGGCUAAUCUAGGUUAAAGAUAUUGUUAGGUAGGGAGUUUAGCUAGGGCGGCACAUCUAUUAAACUAUAACGCAGGUGUCCUAAGGGGGACUUAUAGAGAAUAGAAAUCUCUAGUAGAGCAAAAGGGUAAAAGUCCCCUUAAUUUUGAUUUUUAGUGUGAAUACAAACUAUAAAAGUGUAGCCUAUUAAUCCUUUAGUCCCUUAAAAUUUAAGGCUAGAGGUGCUAGAAAAGUUACUACAGGGAUAACUAGCUUGUGGCAGCUAAGCGUUUAUAGCAACGUUGCUUUUUAAUCCUUUAAUAUUAGCUCUUCCUAUUAUACUAAAGUAGAAUUUAGUAAGCGUUAGAUUGUUUACCCACUAAUAGGGAACGUGAGCUAGGUUUAGACUGUUGUAAGAUAGGUUAGUUUUACCCUACUAAUAACCUUGCCCUAAUAGUAAUACCGCUUAGUACGAGAGGAACCGCAGUUUCAGAUAAUUAGUUUUUGCGGCUGUCUAACUAGGCAUUACUGCAAAGCUACUAUCUACUAGAUUAUAGCUAAACGCCUCUAAGUCAGAAUCCAUGCUAGAAUAGGGUGAUUUCCGCCUGCACUAGUUAGAUACAAAUAGGCCUUUGGCCUAGAACCUUACUAGAUUAGCGUUAGCAGCCCUAUUAAAGUUAGGGUUGUUAGCUAGUAUAUUACAAUUGUACAGUGCGCAGGAUUAAAUCCUUUGUAGAUAACUUAGUUGUCUAGCUAGGUCGUGUAAGUAGUUAAGUAGCCUUGUUGUUAUAAGCUACUAAGCGUAAGCCCGUUGCUAGCUUAGUUAAAAUUAGGAUAUUAUACCCUCCUUAUUUACAAAACUGCUGCCUAAACGGCUGCUGUUAAUAGAAGGAAGAGGGCCAUAGCAAACAAGUUAUAUAGUAAUUGCAAGAUAGAGAGGGCUAGAGCUAGGAGCAAUCCUUGCAAAAUAUACAAAAGAAUAGGUUGUGUGUGUACGUACCUUAGGCAGUUAAUAUAUAGUAUAGGAAGAUUAAGAAAGGAUUUAAGAUAAUCUAUAUAGAUUUUUAGGUGGUGAUCUAUAACUUAAGAGCGUUCUAUAACUUUUUAUUUUUUAGGGGUAGUGUUCUAUAACUCUAGGGCGUUCUAUAACUUUAGGGUGUUCUAUAACUUUAGGGCGUUCUAUAACUUUUUAUUUUUUAGGGGUAGUGUUCUAUAACUUUAGGGCGUUCUAUAACUUUUUAUUUUUUAGGGGUAGUGUUCUAUAACUUUAGGGCGUUCUAUAACUUUAGGGCGUUCUAUAACUUUAGGGCGUUCUAUAACUUUUUAUUUUUUAGGGGUAGUGUUCUAUAACUUUAGGGCUUUCUAUAACUUUAGGGCGUUCUAUAACUUUAGGGCGUUCUACAACUUUUUAUUUUUUAGGGGUAGUGUUCUAUAACUUUAGGGCGUUCUAUAACUUUAGGGCGUUCUAUAACUUUAGGGCGUUCUAUAACUUUUUAUUUUUUAGGGGUAGUGUUCUAUAACUUUAGGGUGUUCUAUAACUUUUUCUUUUUUAGAGGUAGUGUUCUAUAACUUUAGGGCGUUCUAUAACUUUUUAUUUUUUAGGGGUAGUGUUCUAUAACUCUAGGGCGUUCUAUAACUUUUUAUUUUUUAGGGUUAGUAUUUUUUUUAUUUGAAACCUCUUCAUUCUUAUGUAAAGUUACUGCGUACCCAUGNNNNNNNNNNNNNNNNNNNNNNNNNNNNNNNNNNNNNNNNNNNNNNNNNNNNNNNNNNNNNNNNNNNNNNNNNNNNNNNNNNNNNNNNNNNNNNNNNNNNNNNNNNNNNNNNNNNNNNNNNNNNNNNNNNNNNNNNNNNNNNNNNNNNNNNNNNNNNNNNNNNNNNNNNNNNNNNNNNNNNNNNNNNNNNNNNNNNNNNNNNNNNNNNNNNNNNNNNNNNNNNNNNNNNNNNNNNNNNNNNNNNNNNNNNNNNNNNNNNNNNNNNNNNNNNNNNNNNNNNNNNNNNNNNNNNNNNNNNCGGCAGUGUUCUAUAACUUAGUAGCGUUCUGUAGCAAGAGAGUUGUGUACAACAUGCUUCUUUAACAUAACGGCGUUCUAUAACUUUAGGGCGUUCUAUAACUUUAGGGCGUUCUACAACUUUUUAUUUUUUAGGGGUAGUGUUCUAUAACUUUAGGGCGUUCUAUAACUUUAGGGCGUUCUAUAACUUUAGGGCGUUCUACAACUUUUUAUUUUUUAGGGGUAGUGUUUUAUAACUUUAGGGCGUUCUAUAACUUUUUCUUUUUUAGAGGUAGUGUUCUAUAACUUUAGGGCGUUCUAUAACUUUUUCUUUUUUAGGGGUAGUGUUUUAUAACUUUAGGGCGUUCUAUAACUUUUUCUUUUUUAGAGGUAGUGUUCUAUAACUUUAGGGCGUUCUAUAACUUUUUCUUUUUUAGAGGUAGUGUUCUAUAAUAUUAGAGUGUUCUAUAACUUUUUCUUUUUUAGAGGUAGUGUUCUAUAACUUUAGGGCGUUCUAUAACUUUAGGGCGUUCUAUAACUUUAGGGCGUUCUACAACUUUUUAUUUUUUAGGUGUAGUGUUCUAUAACUUUAGGGCGUUCUAUAACUUUAGGGCGUUCUACAACUUUUUAUUUUUUAGGGGUAGUGUUCUAUAACUUUAGAGCGUUCUAUAACUUUUUCUUUUUUAGAGGUAGUGUUCUAUAACUUUAGGGCGUUCUACAACUUUUUAUUUUUAGGGGUAGCGUUCUAUAACUUUAGGGCGUUCUAUAACUUUAGGGCCUUCUAUAAGCUUAGGGCGUUCUAUAACUUUAGGGCGUUCUAUAACUUUAGGGCGUUCUAUAACUUUAGGGCGUUCUACAACUUUUUAUUUUUUAGGGUUAGUGUUCUAUAACUUUAGCGCGUUCUAUACCUUUUAUUUAUUCUAUUACUUUAGUCCUUUCUAUAACUUUAGACUAUUCUAUACUAGUAGCUAUUAUAUCCUUUUUAUAAUACUUAUUAUAUCAUACUAUUAUCUAUUAUUCUUUACUGUUAAGUAUAUCCUUAUAUUUUAUAAAACCUUUUCUCUACUAGCUAGUCCUACUAUACUUUCUUUUAUAACCUACUAGUAUUAAAUAAUACCUUUAUAUUCUUCUUUUAUACUAUCUCUAUUUCUUGCCUUAUCUAUUAAGUAGAUAUAGAUAGAGCUAAUAGAUCUAUAGUUAAUAUAGAUACAGUAGUUAUAGUAGAGUACAGAUAUUAGAGUAGAUAUCCUUAUCUAUAUAUUUACCUACUACUAAUAAAAUUCUAAGUUACUCUUAUCUAGCGAAUACGGGUUUAUGGUUUGU